Molecule: long non-coding RNA, 2993 nt
Filed under: Homo sapiens (human)
Lineage: Eukaryota; Metazoa; Chordata; Mammalia; Primates; Hominidae
Description: HSALNT0133251
Source: RNAcentral
CAAGGAAGUUUUUUUGGUCACUGAGGCUGAACCUUAUGGACAGUACUGCUGAUUUAGUGAUCUGACCUUGAAUUAGGGGUUUCACAAGAAUCCAGGUCCUGGUCCAUGGAAGAACAGUGAGCACUUUUGAUAAUUGAGGUCUAGCUUAACAUUCUGUGACCAAUAAUAUUUUAGUUAACAGAGAUUCUGGUUCUUGGAUCGAGGAUAUUAUGUUUAACAGGAAAAGGCUCUGAAAGAUGUAAUCUCUCUUUUUUUCAAGUUGCAUAGAUUGCACAUGAGGAUUUUGCCCACUUAGCAACUUCAUUCUACUUUUGCAGGAAUAGAACCCAAGUCUUCUGACUUUCACUGCAUUAGCUUAUUUUUUCCUCAUUUUUAGUUCUUUCAAGAAUCAUUAAUUCCAUGCUUGAAAAUGUCUGAAUGGCACUAAUGAGGAUAAGUUUUUUAAUCUUUUGAAUUCUUAAUGUGAACUAACAGGAAAAAAAUCUCAGAGCUAACAAAUUAGAGUUGGUAAAGGGCCGAUUUAUAAGUGUCUCACAAUUUAUGGGUGUAAAUCAAAAUGUUAACUAGUACAGUCAUAAGCUGUUUGUACAAUCCUUAGGCUUUAACUUCUUUGGAAUUGGCAAGCUAGGCAUUUGACAUGUAUUUAUAUAACUGUACGGUUGUAGUUAUUAAUGAUCUUGUCAUUAUUGUUGAUAAUGAAAAAAGAUCUUCACUAUAAUUUCUUCGUAUAAUUCUUAUAAUGAAACAAGUAAAUACUAUUAACUAGAAAAAAUCUAGUCUGCAGUUAGCCCACACACAUCCAAACUUAUCUCUGCCAGCAGCAAAAGAAAGCUUGAAAACCUUUGCCAAAAUCAGAAGUUUCCCAUUUAGAUUACAUAAGUUUCUGUUGAAUUGAAAUAUAUUUAGAUAACAUUUAAACCAUUGAUCUUUUGGUAUUAACUCUCAGAUGUUUCAUAACUUUCUGUCUUUUUAGUAUUCAGGGAUAUUAUGUAAAGUUUUUCCUGCACUGAAUCUCUGUGCUUGAGCCUACUGAAAUGAUCCCCCUAAGCCAUGCUGCCUGCCUUUUGUGUUUAAUGUUUUUUUACACUGACUUAUCUCCUUCGUGUGUUCACCUCUCCCCCAGAGGAAGACAACAGAACAGUAUAAUUUACAGUUUGUACAGGUUAAAAAAAAAAAAAAAGGUUGUAAGGUGGGGGGGUGAUAUUUUGUUUUAAAAUAUUUGGGUAAGGAAAAUUUUGUCUUUAAUAUUAAUUCUGUAAUGCUUGACCAGGCAUGGUGGCUCAAACCUGUAAUCCCAGCACUUUGGGAGACCGAGGCGGGCGGAUCGCAUGAGGCCAGGAGUUCGAGACCAGCCUGGCCAACAUGGUGAAACCCCGUAUCUACUAGAGAUACAAAAAAUUACCCAGGCGUGGUGGUGCAUGCCUGUAGUUCCCGCUACUCCAGAGGCUGAGGCAGAAUUGCUUGAACCCGGAAAGUGGAGGUUGCAGUUAGCUGAGACCACACCACUGCACUCCAUCCAGCCUGGGCAACAGAGCAAGACUCAGUCUCAAAAAAAAAAAAAAAAAAAAAAAACAUAAAAAUAAAAAUAUAAUCCUUGACUGUUACCCAGUAUUUUUACAUUAUUUAUAUUAAUAUCAUUUGAUCUUCACAGAGAAUUCUAUGGAGUACUGUAAUAUUAUCCUCAGAGGGAAACUGAGGCAUCUAUGGAUAGACAUGCAGUGUGGCUUAGUGAUUAAAGCUCUGCAUGCUGGAAGCUGACACCUGGGUUCCAAUCCUGACGCAGCCCUCGCCUCUCUCCGACCUUGUGCACGUUGCCUAACCUAUCUGUGUUUUGGUUUCCUUAUCUGAAAAAUGAGAAUAGUCUCUACCUCAUAGGGUGUUGUGAGAAUCAAAUGAGUCAAAACAUGCUAAGUGCUUUAAAUAGUGCCUGACACAGAGUAAAUGCCCAGUAAAUAUUAAUUCAAUAUUUUUAAAAUGUAGAAGUGUGUUACGGCUAGAAGGGGAUUUUGCUGAAAGUGGAAUCUAAACCUUGCAAUUUUACAUCCUGUUCUGUUCUAUCACUUGGUAGAGAGUAACAAUUACAUCCCGAUUUUAGUUUACACAUGUUAACUAGCAGUUUAGCAUUCAUCAAUAAACUAUAGAUACUUAAAAGCUUUAGCUAUCAGAAGAUCAGUCAAAUUAUAGGUAAAUACUGAAUACAUUUAAAGAAAAUGUAGAGGGUUUUUAUUAUCUUUAGUAACUCAACUAGGUUAAAAUGAAGAAAUUUGAAUUUAAACAAUACAGUAGUUUCCCCUUAUUUGUGGUUUCAGUUACCCACAUGGUACAGUAUGAUAAAAUAUUUUGAGAGACCACUUUCAUGUACGUUUUAUCACAGCAUAUUGUUAUAUUGUUCUAUUUUAUCAUCAGUUAUUGUUGCUAAUGUCUUACUACACCUAAUUUAUAAAUUAAAGUUUAUCACAGGUAUGAUAGUAUAUAUAGGGCUUGGUACUAUCUGAAGUUGCAGGCAUCCGUGGGAGUCUUGGAACGUAUCCCCCUUGGGUAAAGGGAGGCUCUUGCUAACUUAUUUAUGUCCUUACUUAUUGUGCAGAGGACUUGAAACAGUAAACACUGAUGUCUGUAUGGUGAUUAUAGUUCACAAUUAUUUUCAUUUCUAUUAUCGUAAUUGAUCCAUACACAAACUCAUGUGAGAUAGGAGGGCAAGUAUUAAUAUCCCUAAUUCACAGAUGUAAGAAAAGUUGCAAGAAUUUUGGGUGACUUUCUUAAGGGAAGUAAGUGACCAAGUUAAAACUGAAAGCAGAACCCAAAUAUGUGCAUAUUGAUUCAAAACACAAAGUUGAUUUAAAAAUUAGCACGCAAAACAUAAAUCUAAAAUAUUCUUACUAUUCAGCAAAUUUUUAUUGAGUAGCUACUAUAUACCAGGCAUUGUUUUAGGUGCUAGAAAUAUAAAAAAGGAGUAAAAUAAAGUCCCUGUCCUUGUAGAGUUUGUAUUUUUU